Small nuclear RNA from Dromiciops gliroides (monito del monte), 128 nucleotides. Lineage: Eukaryota; Metazoa; Chordata; Mammalia; Microbiotheria; Microbiotheriidae. The record is from RefSeq and is a predicted model, not a curated record.
AUGUUGUAUGAAAGUAGAGAAGGUUAGCACUCCCAUUGAUAAAGAUGGAAAAGGUCCUAGUGGCCUUUAGAACAUAUAUAAAGUUAAGGCAUUGCCAUCUACUCUGUGGCAUCUAACUAUGAAAAUCA